AAAGAUGGUUUUUGUUUGAGUUA
Molecule: non-coding RNA, 23 nt
Filed under: Arabidopsis thaliana (thale cress)
Lineage: Eukaryota; Viridiplantae; Streptophyta; Magnoliopsida; Brassicales; Brassicaceae
Source: RNAcentral